RNAcentral lists this transfer RNA (30 nucleotides) under Adiantum raddianum (delta maidenhair fern). Its description in RNAcentral is "partial tRNA-His". The record is from RNAcentral. Lineage: Eukaryota; Viridiplantae; Streptophyta; Polypodiopsida; Polypodiales; Pteridaceae.
GGCGGACGUAGCCNAGUGGAUCAAGGCAAU